This 1005-nucleotide long non-coding RNA is filed under the name Camelus dromedarius (Arabian camel). RNAcentral describes it as "lncRNA (ENSCDRG00005002394.1)". Lineage: Eukaryota; Metazoa; Chordata; Mammalia; Artiodactyla; Camelidae. The record is from RNAcentral.
GCACUUGGCCCUGCACCCUGACGAUGAAGUGCCCACCGGCUCCGGAAUCCUCGCCGCGGGCACUGUGGAGGGCGAAGGUGACAGCUCCCGGAGGGACCCUGGGUGCCUCUGCCAGGUGCACUGGAGAAGCCAUUUUGGUGACCCAGGUUCCAGCUCUGCAACAGACAGGACACUAAACCUACAGAGAUGACAGACUCCUCAGGCUGCCAGCACCCAUCUGCAGGGCUGGCCUGUGUGGCCCUGCCUCAGUCUUGGGAUGGGAGCCCUGUGCAGCCCUGCAAUUCCGGGGACUGUCACGGCAGGGGCCUUUGUCCGACACGGGUCCAUGACUGCAGACUUCAUUCCGACCUGCUAGUCUUGGGUGGAGGAAGCUGAUCUCAUUUACAACCGUGAGCACAACCAGGCCUCUCUCGUCUGACUGGGAAUUAGGGAGUGCUCUAUUUCAACCCAUAAAUUCCACCUCUUUCCACUUUUACACAGAUGCCAAAGGGACCACCGUGUCUCCAAGAGAAAGUUCGGGGGUGCCCUGGCACGUGUCACCGCUGCUGUGGCCGCGGUGUGGGCUCUCUGUGCGGAAGCAGGUGCAGCCUGGGCCAGGAAAAGGCACCACAGGGCCCCGAGGUGACGUCUAUGGGAAGAGAAAUGGGCCGUGUGAUUGCCAGAAAAGCACAGAUCACGUCUCUGCCUGGAGUCCAGGAAACGGUACAACCGUAACGCCAGAGACAUCCUCUGGCUCUUCCUGUUUUCUCAAGAUCUGAUUGAGGUUUGGAAACACCUUGUACUCAUUUUAGAGGCGAGGAAGAUCUGCAGAGCAGAGCAGUCUGAGCGGCGCAUCUGCUGUGGGGCAGUGAGGGGCUGCCCUGGACCUGGGAAUCAGGGAGCAGAGCUCGGGGUGUGGGUGUCGGGCCACACAGAGCCCACCAGAGCCCUGCCAGGUCCCCGAUCCUAUGAAAAUCUGGUCAAGCAACAGAACUAGGUCAUCUCUUCUGUACCCCCAAGCCCAGG